This 325-nucleotide ribosomal RNA is filed under the name uncultured eukaryote. Its description in RNAcentral is "partial 18S ribosomal RNA". It matches the Rfam family "Eukaryotic small subunit ribosomal RNA", at positions 1470 to 1796 of the family's 1831-position model. The record is from RNAcentral.
CCCUUAGAUGUUCUGGGCCGCACGCGCGCUACACUGAUGCAUUCAACGAGCCUAUCCUUGACCGACAGGUCCGGGUAAUCUUUGAAUCUGCAUCGUGACGGGGAUAGAUUAUUGCAAUUAUUAAUCUUCAACGAGGAAUGCCUAGUAGGCGCAAGUCAUCAGCUUGCGUCGAUUACGUCCCUGCCCUUUGUACACACCGCCCGUCGCUCCUACCGAUUGAGUGGUCCGGUGAGGCUUUGGGAUCUGAGCGGAAAGAGCGUUUCGCUGUUUCUGCUCGGAAAGCUCAGUCGAACCUUAUCAUUUAGAGGAAGGAGAAGUCGUAACA